GACGAACGCUGGCGGCGUGCUUAACACAUGCAAGUCGAACGGUGAUGCUCCAGCUUGCUGGAGUGGAUCAGUGGCGAACGGGUGAGUAACACGUGAGCAACCUGCCCCAGACUCUGGAAUAAGCGCUGGAAACGGCGUCUAAUACUGGAUACGAAACUGGCCCGCAUGGGCAUGGUUUGGAAAGUUUUUCGGUUUGGGAUGGGCUCGCGGCCUAUCAGCUUGUUGGUGAGGUAAUGGCUCACCAAGGCGGCGACGGGUAGCCGGCCUGAGAGGGCGACCGGCCACACUGGGACUGAGACACGGCCCAGACUCCUACGGGAGGCAGCAGUGGGGAAUAUUGCACAAUGGGCGAAAGCCUGAUGCAGCGACGCCGCGUGAGGGAUGACGGCCUUCGGGUUGUAAACCUCUUUCAGCAGGGAAGAAGCGAAAGUGACGGUACCUGCAGAAGAAGCACCGGCUAACUACGUG
This 468-nucleotide ribosomal RNA is filed under the name uncultured bacterium. RNAcentral describes it as "partial 16S ribosomal RNA". It matches the Rfam family "Bacterial small subunit ribosomal RNA", at positions 28 to 507 of the family's 1533-position model. The record is from RNAcentral.